CGUAGGCGGCUUUGUAAGUCAGAGGUGAAAUCCUGGAGCUCAACUCCAGAACUGCCUUUGAGACUGCAUCGCUUGAAUCCCGGAGAGGUGAGUGGAAUUCCUAGUGUAGAGGUGAAAUUCGUAGAUAUUCGGAAGAACACCAAUGGCGAAGGCGGCUCACUGGACUGGUAUUGACGCUGAAGUGCGAAAGCGUGGGGAGCAAACAGGAUUAAAUACCCUGGUAGUCCACGCCGUAAACGAUGAUUACUAGCUGUCGGGGCUCUUAAAGUUU
RNAcentral lists this ribosomal RNA (271 nucleotides) under uncultured bacterium. Its description in RNAcentral is "partial 16S ribosomal RNA". It matches the Rfam family "Bacterial small subunit ribosomal RNA", at positions 570 to 840 of the family's 1533-position model. The record is from RNAcentral.